This 253-nucleotide ribosomal RNA is filed under the name uncultured bacterium. RNAcentral's name for it is "partial 16S ribosomal RNA". It matches the Rfam family "Bacterial small subunit ribosomal RNA", at positions 524 to 776 of the family's 1533-position model. The record is from RNAcentral.
UACGGAGGUGGCAAGCGUUGUUCGGAAUUACUGGGCGUAAAGGGCGCGUAGGCGGGGAGGUAAGUCGGGUGUGAAAUCCCUCGGCUCAACCGAGGAACGGCGCUCGAAACUGCUUCUCUUGAGUCCCGGAGAAGAAGGUGGAAUUCCCGGUGUAGCGGUGAAAUGUGUAGAGAUCGGGAGGAACACCGGUGGCGAAGGCGGCCUUCUGGACGGUGACUGACGCUGAGGCGCGAAAGCGUGGGGAGCAAACGGG